AUCGAAAGGGCACUUUAAUGAGACUGCCGGUGACAAACCGGAGGAAGGUGGGGAUGACGUCAAGUCCUCAUGGCCCUUAUGGGUAGGGCUACACACGUCAUACAAUGGCUGGUACAGAGGGUUGCCAACCCGCGAGGGGGAGCUAAUCCCAUAAAACCAGUCGUAGUCCGGAUCGCAGUCUGCAACUCGACUGCGUGAAGUCGGAAUCGCUAGUAAUCGCGGAUCAGCAUGUCGCGGUGAAUACGUUCCCGGGUCUUGCACACACCGCCCGUCACACCAUGGGAGCGGGUUCUGCCAGAAGUAGUUAGCCUAACCGCAAGGAGGGCGAUUACCACGGCAGGGUUCGUGACUGGGGUGAAGUCGUAACAAGGUAACCGUAA
RNAcentral lists this ribosomal RNA (380 nucleotides) under uncultured bacterium. RNAcentral describes it as "bacterial SSU rRNA". It matches the Rfam family "Bacterial small subunit ribosomal RNA", at positions 1126 to 1505 of the family's 1533-position model. The record is from RNAcentral.